Molecule: long non-coding RNA, 323 nt
Organism: Podarcis muralis (Common wall lizard)
Lineage: Eukaryota; Metazoa; Chordata; Lepidosauria; Squamata; Lacertidae
Source: RefSeq, a predicted model, not a curated record
AGAUAAAACAAGAUACAUGAUGCCAUGCAAGGCAACAGAAUCCAGGCCAUACCCUUCCUUCCAGCCACAGUACAUCAGUCAAUCAAUGUACGCCUUUAUCAGAAGAACCUGCAUUAAAACGCUUGUAGAGCUUCCCCUUUCAAAGAGGGAAUAGUGCACAAAGGAAGCAGACGGAUCUGCUGCCAGAAAAAAAGUCCUUCUCAAACUCCAUGAAACUAGAGAAAGCAAAAUUGGAUUACUCAUUGGAUUAUCAUCCCAUCGUACUGCUGGACAUCUGACCUGCUGUGACAUCAUUGCCAAAAAUAAAACAACAAAUGACCCUU